RNAcentral lists this ribosomal RNA (253 nucleotides) under uncultured bacterium. RNAcentral's name for it is "partial 16S ribosomal RNA". It matches the Rfam family "Bacterial small subunit ribosomal RNA", at positions 524 to 776 of the family's 1533-position model. The record is from RNAcentral.
UACGUAGGGGGCAAGCGUUGUCCGGAAUCAUUGGGCGUAAAGCGCGCGUAGGCGGCCCGGUAAGUCCGCUCUGAAAGUCCAGGGCUUAACCCUGGAAAGCGGGUGGAUACUGCCGGGCUUGAAUCCGGAAGAGGCGAGUGGAAUUCCUGGUGUAGCGGUGGAAUGCGCAGAUAUCAGGAGGAACACCAAUAGCGAAGGCAGCUCGCUGGGACGGUACUGACGCUGAGACGCGAAAGCGUGGGGAGCGAACAGG